Molecule: ribosomal RNA, 253 nt
Filed under: uncultured bacterium
Lineage: Bacteria
Description: partial 16S ribosomal RNA
Rfam family: Bacterial small subunit ribosomal RNA
Source: RNAcentral
UACGUAGUGUGCAAGCGUUAAUCGGAAUUACUGGGCGUAAAGCGUGCGCAGGCGGUGAUGUAAGACAGAUGUGAAAUCCCCGGGCUCAACCUGGGAACUGCAUUUGUGACUGCAUCGCUGGAGUGCGGCAGAGGGGGAUGGAAUUCCGCGUGUAGCAGUGAAAUGCGUAGAUAUGCGGAGGAACACCGAUGGCGAAGGCAAUCCCCUGGGCCUGCACUGACGCUCAUGCACGAAAGCGUGGGGAGCAAACAGG